This is a long non-coding RNA of Xenopus laevis (African clawed frog), 2071 nucleotides long. RefSeq lists it as uncharacterized. NCBI's taxonomy places the organism in Eukaryota, Metazoa, Chordata, Amphibia, Anura, Pipidae. The record is from RefSeq and is a predicted model, not a curated record. The transcript is spliced from 3 exons.
UUGUGACUGCUUUAGUUUAACUGAUCAAGUGGGGGUACUUUUCUAUCUUCUUUUACAUUGUGAAUUACCCAAUACUGACGGAAGUCCGACCUCUGCUGGAAUCAGAAGGAUAAAAACGUUAUAGUAAACAAAGGGAUAGUGGUGUGGUUUGUGUUUUACAGAGACCAUAUAGAAAUGCAGCCAAAAAUUCUACAAUUUCUACUUUGUGCAUGUAUUUAGUCCAUGUGACCCCUGUAAUUCAUCAGUUUGCAAAAUGUUUCCAAAUGUCACCUUCAUAUUGAAGCAACUUGUCUUUUAGUAUUAAAUGUGCCUUUAACUCUCAUCCUUUUGUGUGCAGUCCCUACUGCUUUCAAUAAAGUUUGGUGACAAAAAAAAACCCCUCUCUCAGUACAGCGUUCCCUAAAAUUUGUGCAUAGCAGCAAUAAGAGAGGCGGAAGAGAAAAACCAGCAGAAGGAGGGCACAUCUGUACUGUACUGAGCCAACUGGAAGUUCAGAUAAGUCAUCAUGAAUGACAUACCUUUGUAUAAAUAUAAAGAUUCCUGCUGCAAUUAAAAGGACAUUGCAGCCAAAGAAGAGCAAACUUGUUCUACAUUUGGAUUUGAAUAAUACCAUCCUGGUCUCUGACGUGGCUACUGGGCAAAUGCCCAGAACUAUGCUAAACUCUUACCUGAGCACCAUCACCUGGGGACAGAUCAGUCAAACUGGUUACUAAGAAUACUGAGUGCUGACUACGUAAUGUGCACAAAGGUAUGAGACCUAGUGCAAUGUAAACCGUGACAGCGUCUCAGGUAAUAUAAGAUCAGAUAUUUAAAAUUGCUUUGAGAAGAUUGUCUUGGACUUUACAUAUGGACUAUGCAUCACAAAUGGUUAAUAUUACACAAAAUAGAAAGUCAAUUCAUGAUGUCACCGCAGAAGGGGAGGAGAUUGUGACCACACCCUAAACCACCCCCCCCCCCUCAGGAUGUUGAAUAUAAGUGUUUGGUGGAAGUAAUCACAUUAGGCUUGAUAAAGGGUUCAGAAGGGCCCGAAACGUCGCCCUUCUGUUUGUUCAUAUAUGGGCUAAUAAACACUACGGAUUAUUGCAUCAAUUCAAGUGUGCUGCUGGAUUUUUUGUUCUGGAUGUGAAGUGUACCCAAAAAGCAGGCAAGGGUCUUCCAGUUCAGCACCUGAGACCCACACGGGUUUAAUGAAGGUAGAGCACUCCUAAUUACUAUUCUUGGGAAAGUUUAGACACUCCACAAACACAAUGCAGAAAUACACAGUAGAUUAAAACACCUUUAUUGCAUAUAUGGGUGUAAUGCGAGUAAAUGUUUUAUUUCUAUUUAAAGGCUUUCUCUAUUUGUCCAGCGCCAGCAAAUACAAUGUGUUUUGGCAGCAGCCGUCCUAUUAAAUGUGAGAAUAUUUUUCAUCCGUUGGUGUGUAGAGAGGAAUGAAUGAUGCUACAUGUCAUUGUAUUCUAAACAGCGUAUCUGUAUCUGCUUUGUAAGGACCUGUGGUGUAAUUAUAUAGAGGGGCCGACUCCAGACCAGCGACGGAUGCAAAAUCACAGGUGAAUCAUGACGCAUGCAUUGGGGGCAUCCUCCCCCGCUGCAUGCUCACUCAGGUGUCAGCGCAUUAUUUAAAAGAAAAAGAAGAGCGGGAAGGGCCCCCCUCGACUGCUGGGUCUGCUUCCUCUAUAGUUACACCAUUGCGUCCCUGGUCAACCACGAUUUCAUGGGUUGGGCCCAAAAUGUUCCUUUUAUCCACCUCAGGCCCCUGAAAUUACACCACUGGUAAUGGCCAUGGCACAAAUGGCUACUUGGGGUGCUUAAAGCACUUUUUUUUUUAGUGGCCCAAAUAUGUUGCACCAAAAUGCACAAAGCAGACUCUUUCAUUAAUUUUAUUGUAUGUCACCUGUCAAGCAUUCUUGUAUGCCUUUCAGACAAUAGAUUGUACCAGGGCCGGAACUAAGAGCAGGCAGGCGGAAAGGUGCUGUGAAGAAGCGAGUGAAAGCUAGGGGGGUCAUCAGCCACAAUAAAUCUCUACAGGGAAACAAACAAAGCUGCUUGAGUUCUGCAUGGCUGGGAAGUA